This 485-nucleotide ribosomal RNA is filed under the name uncultured bacterium. Its description in RNAcentral is "bacterial SSU rRNA". It matches the Rfam family "Bacterial small subunit ribosomal RNA", at positions 30 to 516 of the family's 1533-position model. The record is from RNAcentral.
AUUGAACGCUGGCGGCAGGCCUAACACAUGCAAGUCGAGCGGGGUUUUCGGACCUAGCGGCGGACGGGUGAGUAAUGCGUAGGAAGCUACCCGAUAGAGGGGGAUACCAGUUGGAAACGACUGUUAAUACCGCAUAAUGUCUACGGACCAAAGUGUGGGACCUUCGGGCCACAUGCUAUCGGAUGCGCCUACGUGGGAUUAGCUAGUUGGUGAGGUAAUGGCUCACCAAGGCGACGAUCUCUAGCUGGUUUGAGAGGAUGAUCAGCCACACUGGAACUGAGACACGGUCCAGACUCCUACGGGAGGCAGCAGUGGGGAAUAUUGGACAAUGGGCGCAAGCCUGAUCCAGCCAUGCCGCGUGUGUGAAGGAGGCCUUCGGGUUGUAAAGGCACUUUCAGCGAGGAGGAAGAGUUGUGUGUUAACUAGUACACAGCUUUGACGUUACUCGUCAGAAGAAGCACCGGCGUAACUCUGUGCCAGCAGCC